CUCUGAUCUUUUAACCCCUUUCUCUUCAGUCCGAUCCUUGACGUCUUCCAACCAAAAUCUUUUAAGCAUUCCAAAAACCCACUUCAAGACUAGACGAGAUCUCUCAUUUCUAUCUCUAAACUAAACAAAUAAAUCUCCAAUAAGUUUGUUUAUGGUUGUAUAACAGUUCAUUUCAAAAAUAUGGAUUUUUGAUGCUUUUUCUUCUUUUAACAAGAGCUGUAGUCAUUUCACAUUCAUUUGUGGUGAAACGAAACUCUGAGAUUGAUGUUUCUGCUUUCUGGAAAGGCAACAUACCAUAAAAAAAUCUUCAGAAGAAAACAACCUCGGGCGUUACGUGAUCUGUUUAUGUCAGUCACGUGUGAACAAGUCUUUCUGGAUACUUCUGUCCAAAUUUGUGAAGAAUGCAGUUGAGGAAGACUUUCCUUCCAAGUCCUCCUCUCUCCACAUGCUGAGCUCUGUAUAAAAAGACUUGAUUAGAUCGUCUUGCACACUUUAGAGAUUAAAGGUUCAGUUCUUGCAGAAGCUCCCACAUCCAGCUUAAUCAUUUGUCCGUGAAUGCUGAGCUCAGGCGUGGAACCCACAUGAUGUCCAACAACCAGCAGUGGAGAGAAGUUUUUCAGGAGGACAGAAACUUUGUCACCUACGGAUGGAAGCCUGGAUGGACCUCAAGCACUC
Long non-coding RNA from Oryzias melastigma (Indian medaka), 675 nucleotides. RefSeq lists it as uncharacterized. NCBI's taxonomy places the organism in Eukaryota, Metazoa, Chordata, Actinopteri, Beloniformes, Adrianichthyidae. The record is from RefSeq and is a predicted model, not a curated record. The transcript has 3 exons.